RNAcentral lists this unclassified non-coding RNA (269 nucleotides) under Ambisporaceae sp. Its description in RNAcentral is "partial contains 5.8S ribosomal RNA and internal transcribed spacer 2". The stretch from base 1 to 71 matches the Rfam family "5.8S ribosomal RNA", at positions 84 to 154 of the family's 154-position model. The record is from RNAcentral. Lineage: Eukaryota; Fungi; Glomeromycota; Glomeromycetes; Archaeosporales; Ambisporaceae.
GUGAAUCAUCGAAUUUUUGAACGCAUAUUGCACUCUUUGGUAUUCCGGAGAGUAUGCCUGUUUGAGGGUCAUUAAAAAGAAUCUUUAACCACUUUUUUUGGUCAAAGGCUAUGAGUUAUCCGCGUUUAUAGCGGUAGCUUGACCUACAUGGUCAAGUCUCAUUUUAGUCGAGACGCGUAAUAAUAUUCUGUCGCGAAUUCUUCAUUAUGUGUUUAUCAAGUUUUGAUGCAUACACAUUUGUUUUGUAUGCGAUCAAUCCAACUAUUUUG